ACACACAGGUGCUGCAUGGCUGUCGUCAGCUCGUGUCGUGAGAUGUUGGGUUAAGUCCCGCAACGAGCGCAACCCUCGUCUCUAGUUGCUACCAUUUAGUUGGGCACUCUAGAGAAACUGCCGGUGAUAAGCCGGAGGAAGGUGGGGAUGACGUCAAGUCCUCAUGGCCCUUACGCGCUGGGCUACACACGUGCUACAAUGGCGGUGACAGUGAGCAGCGACCCCGCGAGGGUGAGCUAAUCUCCAAAAGCCGUCCCAGUUCGGAUUGUUCUCUGCAACUCGAGAGCAUGAAGGCGGAAUCGCUAGUAAUCGCGGAUCAGCAUGCCGCGGUGAAUACGUUCCCAGGCCUUGUACACACCGCCCGUCACACCAUGGGAGUUGGUUUCACCCGAAGGCGCUACGCUAACCGCAAGGAGGCAGGCGAC
Molecule: ribosomal RNA, 425 nt
Filed under: uncultured Alphaproteobacteria bacterium
Lineage: Bacteria; Pseudomonadati; Pseudomonadota; Alphaproteobacteria
Description: bacterial SSU rRNA
Rfam family: Bacterial small subunit ribosomal RNA
Source: RNAcentral